AAGGGCAGUUUGCUGAGGGCAAAGUCAUAAGGCAAUCUUCCCAAGCAUCCUGGGUACCAUCUAUCACCUCUGUGUUCAGACCAUGCAUAAAAACCUGCAUUACAACUUAUGGGCUGGAGAGACAGCAUCUGACCAAACCCCUCCUUAUGACAAGGCAACAGAAAAGGAAAUGGCUGCAGUCUGAUUAAAGCCAGCCCACUGAAUUACGUCAGGAUCCAUGAUACGUCAUGCCUCAUCCUGUGCAGAGACAAACUAGACCAGAUCUCUGCCUCCAAGCACAGCAGAGACACAUGGGCUGAAUAGCUGAACAGGUACCAGAUGACCAGAAGAGAAGAGUCCCCCAAGUUAGAUAAUGUACUGAUGAGAAAGAUUCAGAAGAUGGAUGCCUUCACCACACACGGCUAGCAAACGGCCAAGCAGGUGUCAUCAGCGGUGCGGGCUACCAUAUACCAUGUACAAAGCGGCAUCCAAUGUGGGUUCUUUCGUUCCAAAAUCCCUGUUAAGGGAUUCGGGAAGUGGGGAAAGAAUUUCAGCUGACUACUGUCAUCGGAAAACCUCACUGCUGGGGAGAGUAGCAAGUCACCAGUCAACUGGAAUGGUAACAGAUUGGACAGCUGGGAAAGUUAUGCCCUCAGACUUAGAAGCUAUAGAGCAGGGGUUCUGCAGUGAAGACAAGAAUGCUCAAAACAUGAACAUUUGUACUAAUCUGGAAGUCUUUUCAAGCCAUUGGCAGGAGCAGUCAUCAUAAAUUAUCCUGGAGACAGAGAGGCUGAGCAUCCUCCCCACCUAUGGGGCUUUGAUGCAGCUAACAGGGCA
RNAcentral lists this long non-coding RNA (816 nucleotides) under Capra hircus (goat). RNAcentral describes it as "lncRNA (ENSCHIG00000002213.1)". The record is from RNAcentral. Lineage: Eukaryota; Metazoa; Chordata; Mammalia; Artiodactyla; Bovidae.